UGGGGAAUUUUGGACAAUGGGGGAAACCCUGAUCCAGCCAUCCCGCGUGUGCGAUGAAGGCCUUCGGGUUGUAAAGCACUUUUGGCAGGAAAGAAACGUCAUGGGUUAAUACCCCGUGAAACUGACGGUACCUGUAGAAUAAGCACCGGCUAACUACGUGCCAGCAGCCGCGGUAAUACGUAGUGUGCAAGCGUUAAUCGGAAUUACUGGGCGUAAAGCGUGCGCAGGCGGUUCGGAAAGAAAGAUGUGAAAUCCCAGAGCUCAACUUUGGAACUGCAUUUUUAACUACCGGGCUAGAGUGUGUCAGAGGGAGGUGGAAUUCCGCGUGUAGCAGUGAAAUGCGUAGAUAUGCGGAGGAACACCGAUGGCGAAGGCAGCCUCCUGGGAUAACACUGACGCUCAUGCACGAAAGCGUGGGGAGCAAACAGG
RNAcentral lists this ribosomal RNA (429 nucleotides) under Acidobacteriota bacterium. Its description in RNAcentral is "Acidobacteria bacterium partial 16S ribosomal RNA". It matches the Rfam family "Bacterial small subunit ribosomal RNA", at positions 355 to 776 of the family's 1533-position model. The record is from RNAcentral. Lineage: Bacteria; Pseudomonadati; Acidobacteriota.